RNAcentral lists this long non-coding RNA (462 nucleotides) under Sorghum bicolor (sorghum). Its description in RNAcentral is "long non-coding RNA (SBIC_LNC010168)". The record is from RNAcentral. Lineage: Eukaryota; Viridiplantae; Streptophyta; Magnoliopsida; Poales; Poaceae.
ACUAACACAACCCAAUAAUUUAGAUGCAAUAAGUGACAUGUAUCGCAACCAAUUAUAGCCCAUGAUGCAAUAGAGCCUUCUAUUGCGACUAAAUUUAUGGUGUUGCAAAUACAAGUGGUUGGAUUAAGGUAAAAACCUUGUAGUGUGCAUAAAUCUAUUUCUACAGCUAAAUCUUUAAACUAAAACAUGGCAUAUCAUAGAUCUAAUGCAUAGAGAAUUUCAUAAGGAUUCCAAAAAGUCCACAUUUGCUAUUUUACGACAUUUCUAGCAUUUUCUAUGCAUUAACAAAGUUCAACCAGAAAUCUGAAAAAAACAAAAGAAAAGGAAAACACAUCUUGCAUCGGGAACCCUAAGUUUUUCACGAAUCAACCGCAGCCCAUAAGCACUAUUCAUAUGAGUCUGUGGUUCGCAUCCUGAGGUUUACUCUAUUUGAACCCGAGGUCGCGAAUCAAGAGGACUGUC